CAGGACGAACGCUGGCGGCGUGCCUAAUACAUGCAAGUCGAACGGUCUUUUCUAUGGAAGCUUGCUUCCACUGAGAAGAUAGUGGCGAACGGGUGAGUAACGACGUGGGUAACCUGCCCAUAAGAGGGGGAUAACAUCCGGAAACGGGUGCUAAUACCGCAUAGUUUUCUUGAUCGCAUGAUCGGGAAAGGAAAGACGGCCUUUGUGCUGUCGCUUAUGGAUGGACCCGCGGCGUAUUAGUUAGUUGGUGAGGUAACGGCUCACCAAGACGAUGAUACGUAGCCGACCUGAGAGGGUGAUCGGCCACAUUGGGACUGAGACACGGCCCAAACUCCUACGGGAGGCAGCAGUAGGGAAUCUUCCGCAAUGGACGAAAGUCUGACGGAGCAACGCCGCGUGAGUGAAAGAAGGUUUUCGGAUCGUAAAACUCUGUUGUCAGAGAAGAACAAGUUGGAGAGUAACUGCUCCAGCCUUGACGGUAUCUGACCAGAAAGCCACGGCUAACUACGUGCCAGCCGCCGC
This 522-nucleotide ribosomal RNA is filed under the name uncultured bacterium. RNAcentral describes it as "bacterial SSU rRNA". It matches the Rfam family "Bacterial small subunit ribosomal RNA", at positions 25 to 518 of the family's 1533-position model. The record is from RNAcentral.